This 371-nucleotide ribosomal RNA is filed under the name uncultured organism. Its description in RNAcentral is "partial 16S ribosomal RNA". It matches the Rfam family "Bacterial small subunit ribosomal RNA", at positions 527 to 896 of the family's 1533-position model. The record is from RNAcentral.
GUAGGUGGCAAGCGUUGUCCGGAAUUAUUGGGCGUAAAGCGCGCGCAGGCGGUUCUUUAAGUCUGAUGUGAAAGCCCACGGCUCAACCGUGGAGGGUCAUUGGAAACUGGAGAACUUGAGUACAGAAGAGGAAAGCGGAAUUCCGCGUGUAGCGGUGAAAUGCGUAGAGAUGUGGAGGAACACCAGUGGCGAAGGCGGCUUUCUGGUCUGUAACUGACGCUGAGGCGCGAAAGCGUGGGGAGCAAACAGGAUUAGAUACCCUGGUAGUCCACGCCGUAAACGAUGAGUGCUAAGUGUUAGGGGGUUCCCGCCCCCCUUAGUGCUGCAGCUAACGCAUUAAGCACUCCGCCUGGGAUACGGCCGCAAGGCUG